UGCUCACCUACCCCUAGAUCCCUGUAUAAGGAGGCGCCCAUUUCUGGCGAAGCGCUUAGGCUUCGGAGCACAACUCCACUGAGCCCUCCAGCGUAAUUAAAGGUUUGUCUCCACCUCUUCAAGUGACUUUCGGAUUCUCAAGUCUUCGAAUUGCAGCAGCAGCGGAUGCGUAUAGCACCGAGCUCUUCACCUUUGCCACAACAGGAUGAAUCUACGUAGAUGGGGCAUGCAGCUCCUGCUUUGGUGGGCCUUCACUUGUGGACUGUGGCUUAUGAACUGAGUGAGUUGUGGACUGUGGGCUUGUGGACUGAGCCAGCUGUCACACCAUAGACCAGAUGCUACUGCUUGCCAGAAAGCCUGGUACUUGUCGCAGAAAUGAGAGGUAGGCUCUGCUCCCAAGGAGCGCACAGAUCCAAAGUGGAAGACUUGGUGUUUGAAAUGGCUGUGGUGAGUCCUCUACCAUUUGUCAUUGCAAGCCAACGAGAUGUUUUCUCUCAGGCAGGACAUCAGGAAUAUCCCCCAACACGCACACCAUGCACACCCAUAUGCACAGGCACCCAUGCGCACACGUGUAUGCGUAAGUCAAGGCCAUAGAUAGGAAUGGAGGGCAUCUCCCAAGCUUUCAACAUGGAUCCUAGAAUGAGAGGGACAUGGCCAGGAAGUAUGUUUCAGGCUUUGCUGCUCUCCUUCUCCAGUAUCUGUCUAGACACUGCUUUAGGUACUUACACACUAUUUAAAAAUACAUAAUAGUAUAUAGUAAUU
Heterocephalus glaber (naked mole-rat) is the source of this 762-nucleotide long non-coding RNA. Lineage: Eukaryota; Metazoa; Chordata; Mammalia; Rodentia; Bathyergidae. The record is from Ensembl.